AUUGAACGCUGGCGGCAGGCUUAACACAUGCAAGUCGGACGGUAACAGGGAGGAAGCUUGCCUUCUUUGCUGACGAGUGGCGGACGGGUGAGUAAUGCUUGGGAAUCUGUUUUAUGGAGGGGGAUAACUACGGGAAACUGUAGCUAAUACCGCGUAAUAUCGAGAGAUUAAAGUGUGGGACCGUAAGGCCACAUGCCAUAGAGUGAGCCCAAGUGGGAUUAGGUAGUUGGUGGGGUAAAGGCCUACCAAGCCGUCGAUCUCUAGCUGGUCUGAGAGGAUGACCAGCCACACUGGGACUGAGACACGGCCCAGACUCCUACGGGAGGCAGCAGUGGGGAAUAUUGCACAAUGGGCGCAAGCCUGAUGCAGCCAUGCCGCGUGAAUGAAGAAGGCCUUCGGGUUGUAAAGUUCUUUCGGUGGUGAGGAAGGUUGUAAUGUUAAUAGCAUUAUAAUUUGACGUUAGCCACAGAAGAAGCACCGGCUAACUCCGUGCCAGCAGCCGCGGUAAUACGGAGGGUGCGAGCGUUAAUCGGAAUAACUGGGCGUAAAGGGCACGCAGGCGGAUACUUAAGUGAGGUGUGAAAGCCCUGGGCUUAACCUAGGAAUUGCAUUUCAUACUGGGUAUCUAGAGUAUUUUAGGGAGGGGUAGAAUUCCACGUGUAGCGGUGAAAUGCGUAGAGAUGUGGAGGAAUACCGAAGGCGAAGGCAGCCCCUUGGGGGAAUACUGACGCUCAUGUGCGAAAGCGUGGGGAGCAAACAGG
Molecule: ribosomal RNA, 761 nt
Filed under: uncultured bacterium
Lineage: Bacteria
Description: bacterial SSU rRNA
Rfam family: Bacterial small subunit ribosomal RNA
Source: RNAcentral